Molecule: unclassified non-coding RNA, 360 nt
Filed under: uncultured Roseiflexaceae bacterium
Lineage: Bacteria; Bacillati; Chloroflexota; Chloroflexia; Chloroflexales; Roseiflexaceae
Description: contains 16S-23S intergenic spacer region
Source: RNAcentral
UCCCAAUCGGGCAGUCCGGCUAGACACGAGUAACUAGCCGCGGGGGUUGCGCUCGUUGCGGGACUUAACCCAACAUCUCACAACACGAGCUGACGACAGCCAUGCAGCACCUGUGCAGCACCCUCGAAGGCGAGCGGCUUUCACCGCCUUGCAGCUGCAUGUCAAAUCUGGGUGAGGUUCUGCGCGUUGCGUCGAAUUAAACCACACGCUCCGCUGCUUGUGCGGGCCCCCGUCAAUUCCUUUGAGUUUUAAGCUUGCGCUCGUAGUUCCCAGGCGGGACACUUCCGCGUUAGCUGAGCCCCACACGAGGAAUGGUUACCCCGCAUAGGACGAGUGUCCAUCGUUUACGGCGUGGACUAC